UUAAUCUCUCCUUGUGUUAGUUUUUCUCUAAGUAUUUUGUAUUUGAAGUAUUUUGUUUUUUGUAACAAACCAUUGAAAAAUGACUUCACACAAGAGUUGGUCAUUUUGGAAUUGUAAAAAUAAUAGCAGGAAAAAUCUGGAAUUAACAUUUCAUAAAUUUCCCACAAAUGAUAAAUUCAACAGCAAUUACAUAUAAUAUAAUAUGUAACAUUUAUUAAAAAAUACUAAGGAUUCUAUAUAAAUAGUCUGUUCCUGGAAAAACUUCAUUAGCUCAACCUAUAGAAUUUUUGACAUCAUUGAAGAAACUGGAAACAUCAUCUGCAUCUAAUGUGUAUAGUGAUGACAAUGUUUCAAUCGCAACAGUAGAUAAAGUACUAAGAUGGAGUCCAAUAAACCCAGGGUUGAAUACUUGAAUAUAAGUUAUUACAUUCAAUUAAAGAAACAAUUCUACAUAUAUUUAUAUUGUUAGUAUUAUUAAAUUUAAAUAAGUAGGUAUAAAUGAAAAUAUUGAUGUACAGACUCAGAAGCUUGGAUCAAUUGAGUAUAAUUAUAAAAAUAUUUUUAUCCCAACCGUGGAUCUUGUGCUAGGAUGGAGUCCAAAAAUGGCAAGCUGUAAAUCUGAAAGCAAUAUGUAUAGAAUUCCAGCACAUAAACCUAGAUCAGCAAUCUCCAAACUACGGCCCUCAAACAAAUUUUAACCGGCCUGCAGCCCCCAUAGGAUAGUAAAUAUAUAAGGAGAUAUCUAACAUUUAAAAAUUAAAAAUUGUAUGUGUUAUAAUAUAUGUUUAAACUUUUGGCCCGCUAAAAGAUGAUGAUAUUUUU
Molecule: long non-coding RNA, 822 nt
Organism: Aphis gossypii (cotton aphid)
Lineage: Eukaryota; Metazoa; Arthropoda; Insecta; Hemiptera; Aphididae
Exons: 3
Source: RefSeq, a predicted model, not a curated record